RNAcentral lists this microRNA precursor (192 nucleotides) under Oryza brachyantha (malo sina). RNAcentral's name for it is "MIR812 microRNA precursor family". It matches the Rfam family "MIR812 microRNA precursor family". Lineage: Eukaryota; Viridiplantae; Streptophyta; Magnoliopsida; Poales; Poaceae. The record is from Rfam by way of RNAcentral.
AAUAAGAUUAUUUUUCAAUUUUUUUAUACAAUAUUUUGACUUUUCGUCUUAUUUGAAAUUUUUUGAUAUUAAUAUUUUUAUUUUUACUAGAUGAUAAAAUAUAAAUAAUGCUUUGUGAGUAACUAAUUUUUUUAAUUUUUUGUAUAAAUUUUUCAAAUAAGACGAAUGAUCAAACGUUGGACACGCAAAAAC